GGAUGUCGUCCAAUGGUUAGGGCCCCAGCCUUCCAAGCUGGCGAUGCGGGUUCGAUUCCCGUCAUCCG
This 68-nucleotide transfer RNA is filed under the name bovine gut metagenome. It matches the Rfam family "tRNA". From Rfam's summary of the family: Transfer RNA (tRNA) molecules are approximately 80 nucleotides in length. Their secondary structure includes four short double-helical elements and three loops (D, anti-codon, and T loops). Further hydrogen bonds mediate the characteristic L-shaped molecular structure. tRNAs have two regions of fundamental functional importance: the anti-codon, which is responsible for specific mRNA codon recognition, and the 3' end, to which the tRNAs corresponding amino acid is attached (by aminoacyl-tRNA synthetases). tRNAs cope with the degeneracy of the genetic code in two manners: having more than one tRNA (with a specific anti-codon) for a particular amino acid; and 'wobble' base-pairing, i.e. permitting non-standard base-pairing at the 3rd anti-codon position. The record is from RNAcentral.